UCCUUGUUACGGAAAUAAAACCCGGAAGACACCAGUUAUCAAUGCUACAGCUAAGCUACCAGUACAGAUCCGAUCAUGAAUGAGCAAAUUGCUAAGUACUUUCAGCGAGGAUUUACAAACGAUGAAAUCCUUGCGUUAUUAGCUGAAUCACAUGGCAUCAUUAUCAGCAAACGCACCCUCGAAAGGAUCUUACACAAGAACAGACUUUGGCGCAGAAAGAACAAAACUGAGGUGGAAGAGGUGGCGGCUUUUAUACAAGCGCAACUGGAAAACUCAGGUCAGUCACAUGGAUAUCGCUGGAUGCACCAGAAGUGUUGGAUGAAUGGAAUUGUGACUGACAGAGAAACAGUUCGUCUUCUGCUCCGUUUACUCGACGGUGAAGGUGUGGAUUUAAGGUCCCGUAGACGACUGCGGAGGCGAGUGUAUCAUAGCAGAGGCCCCAACUAUGUGUGGCACAUCGACGGAUACGAUAAGCUUAAGCCAUUUGGAAUUGCAAUAAGUGGAUGUAUUGACGGCUUCUCAAGGAGCGUUAUAUGGCUUGAAGCUUACAAGACAAAUAAUGACCCCAGAGUGAUUGCUGGUUACUACAUGGAUGCCGUGAUUCAACAUGGUGGAUGCCCUGAUCGAGUGAGAUUAGAUUUAGGAACAGAAAACGUCCAUGUGGCCCAGAUGCAAAGGUUUUUACAUUUUUCAGACAGUGAUUCAGAAACUGAUCAUGUCACUUUUGGAGCAAGUACAGGAAAUCAGCGUGUUGAAAGAUGGUGGCUAAUCUUACGAAGUCAGUGUGUCCAGUACUGGAUCGACCUGUUUGACAAACUAAGAGAGGAUGGACACUUCUCAGACUCGUUCUUGGACAAAUCAUUGGUCCAGUUCUGCUUUCUUCACAUUAUACAGGAGGAAUUAAACGAAGUUGCUUUGGCUUGGAACGACCACAGAAUACGCCCAGUCCACAACUCCCGCAGUCCUCAUGGUCGACCGUCUUUUAUGUAUGCCCUCCCAGACAUCUAUGGAGCGAGAGACUGUCUCCAGCAUGUCAAUAUGGAGAAAGUUGAAGCCUGCCUUGAAGAAUGUGUGUUCAAAGACUUUCCAUGUGAUGAGGAUGUCUUUCAUCUCUGUGUAGAACUGAUGGCUGAACAUGCUCUGGGCUUCACAAAUGAUGUGUUUGAUACAGUGGAUCUGUAUGUACAACUAAGGCAGCUCAUGCUUGCUCAGUUGGAGACAUUGCCUUAAAGGUUAUACCUAUUUAUGCAUUUGACAGAGCUGUUGAAAGCACAUGUCCUUUAACCUUUGUGCUUCCUUAGGAACAGUUAGUCCACAACUCCCGCAGUCCUCAUGGUCGACCGUCUUUUAUGUAUGCCCUCCCAGACAUCUAUGGAGCGAGAGACUGUCUCCAGCAUGUCAAUAUGGAGAAAGUUGAAGCCUGCCUUGAAGAAUGUGUGUUCAAAGACUUUCCAUGUGAUGAGGAUGUCUUUCAUCUCUGUGUAGAACUGAUGGCUGAACAUGCUCUGGGCUUCACAAAUGAUGUGUUUGAUACAGUGGAUCUGUAUGUACAACUAAGGCAGCUCAUGCUUGCUCAGUUGGAGACAUUGCCUUAAAGGUUAUACCUAUUUAUGCAUUUGACAGAGCUGUUGAAAGCACAUGUCCUUUAACCUUUGUGCUUCCUUAGGAACAGUUAGUCCUCUGGCUUAGAAGAAUAAAAAUUAAAAA
RNA transcript from Archocentrus centrarchus (flier cichlid), 1707 nucleotides. RefSeq lists it as uncharacterized. Lineage: Eukaryota; Metazoa; Chordata; Actinopteri; Cichliformes; Cichlidae. The transcript is spliced from 3 exons. The record is from RefSeq and is a predicted model, not a curated record.